AUUCAAAGAGAUAAAAGAGACUUGAAAGAAACUACGGGAGUUGAAUUUACAAAAUAUUUUAUUCACUUGAACAACUCUAUAGCAAUUGUUUUCUCUUCUCUUUCCUCUGUUUUUUUGUUUUUUUUAAGGAGUAUGUAUUGACAUGUAUUGAAAUAUUAAAAACAUAUUACUUUUUUUCCUUCCUCUUAUCCUUCUAUUUUUUCUUCCUCUUAUCCUUUUAUUUCUUCAUUCCUUAUUUUUAUUUUCUAUUUUU
Molecule: long non-coding RNA, 253 nt
Filed under: Lathyrus oleraceus (garden pea)
Lineage: Eukaryota; Viridiplantae; Streptophyta; Magnoliopsida; Fabales; Fabaceae
Description: Pisum sativum (pea) long non-coding RNA (PSAT_LNC024898)
Source: RNAcentral